UACGGAAGGCAGCAGUGGGGAAUAUUGCACAAUGGGCGCAAGCCUGAUGCAGCCAUGCCGCGUGUAUGAAGAAGGCCUUCGGGUUGUAAAGUACUUUCAGUCGUGAGGAAGGUGUUAAGGUUAAUAACCUUAGCAAUUGACGUUAGCGACAGAAGAAGCACCGGCUAACUCCGUGCCAGCAGCCGCGGUAAUACGGAGGGUGCGAGCGUUAAUCGGAAUUACUGGGCGUAAAGGGCACGCAGGCGGUUAAUUAAGUUGGAUGUGAAAUCCCCGGGCUUAACCUGGGAAUGGCAUUCAAGACUGGUUAGCUAGAGUCUUGUAGAGGGGGUAGAAUUCCAUGUGUAGCGGCGAAAUGCGUAGAGAUGUGGAGGAAUACCGGUGGCGAAGGCGGCCCCUGGACAAAGACUGACGCUCAUGUGCGAAAGCGUGGGGAGCAAAC
RNAcentral lists this ribosomal RNA (439 nucleotides) under uncultured bacterium. RNAcentral's name for it is "bacterial SSU rRNA". It matches the Rfam family "Bacterial small subunit ribosomal RNA", at positions 340 to 773 of the family's 1533-position model. The record is from RNAcentral.